UACAGAGGGUGCGAGCGUUAAUCGGAAUUACUGGGCGUAAAGCGCGCGUAGGCGGCUUUGCAAGUCGAUUGUGAAAUCCCCAGGCUUAACCUGGGAACUGCAUUCGAGACUGCAUAGCUAGAGUAUGGGAGAGGGAAGUGGAAUUUCAGGUGUAGCGGUGAAAUGCGUAGAUAUCUGAAGGAACAUCAGUGGCGAAAGCGACUUCCUGGACCAAUACUGACGCUCAUGUGCGAAAAGCGUGGGGGAGCAAACAGG
Molecule: ribosomal RNA, 255 nt
Filed under: uncultured bacterium
Lineage: Bacteria
Description: partial 16S ribosomal RNA
Rfam family: Bacterial small subunit ribosomal RNA
Source: RNAcentral